GGAGUUUGAUCAUGGCUCAGGAUGAACGCUGGCGGCGUGCUUAACACAUGCAAGUCGAACGAACCUUCGGGUUAGUGGCGGACGGGUGAGUAACGCGUGAGAAUCUGCCCUCAGGAGGGGGAUAACAGCUGGAAACGGCUGCUAAUACCCCAUAUGCCGCGAGGUGAAAUGAAUUUCGCCUGAGGAUGAGCUCGCGUCUGAUUAGCUAGUUGGUGUAGGUAACGGCUCACCAAGGCAUCGAUCAGUAGCUGGUCUGAGAGGAUGAUCAGCCACACUGGGACUGAGACACGGCCCAGACUCCUACGGGAGGCAGCAGUGGGGAAUUUUCCGCAAUGGGCGAAAGCCUGACGGAGCAACGCCGCGUGAGGGAUGAAGGCCUCUGGGCUGUAAACCUCUUUUAUCAAGGAAGAAGAUCUGACGGUACUUGAUGAAUAAGCCACGGCUAAUUCCGUGCCAGCAGCCGCGGUAAUACGGGAGUGGCAAGCGUUAUCCGGAAUUAUUGGGCGUAAAGCGUCCGCAGGCGGCCCUUCAAGUCUGCUGUUAAAAAGUGGAGCUUAACUCCAUCAUGGCAGUGGAAACCGAGGGGCUUGAGUGUGGUAGGGGCAGAGGGAAUUCCCGGUGUAGCGGUGAAAUGCGUAGAUAUCGGGAAGAACACCAGUGGCGAAGGCGCUCUGCUGGGCCAUCACUGACGCUCAUGGACGAAAGCCAGGGGAGCGAAAGGGAUUAGAUACCCCUGUAGUCCUGGCCGUAAACGAUGAACACUAGGUGUCGGGGGAAUCGACCCCCUCGGUGUCGUAGCCAACGCGUUAAGUGUUCCGCCUGGGGAGUACGCACGCAAGUGUGAAACUCAAAGGAAUUGACGGGGGCCCGCACAAGCGGUGGAGUAUGUGGUUUAAUUCGAUGCAACGCGAAGAACCUUACCAGGGUUUGACAUCCUGCGAAUCUUUUGGAAACGAGAGAGUGCCUUCGGGAGCGCAGUGACAGGUGGUGCAUGGCUGUCGUCAGCUCGUGUCGUGAGAUGUUGGGUUAAGUCCCGCAACGAGCGCAACCCACGUCUUUAGUUGCCAGCAUUUAGUUGGGCACUCUAGAGAGACCGCCGGUGAUAAACCGGAGGAAGGUGUGGAUGACGUCAAGUCAUCAUGCCCCCUUACAUCCUGGGCUACACACGUACUACAAUGCUACGGACAAAGGGCAGCAAGUUCGCGAGGACAAGCAAAUCCCAUAAACCGUGGCUCAGUUCAGAUCGUAGGCUGCAACUCGCCUACGUGAAGUAGGAAUCGCUAGUAAUCGCAGGUCAGCAUACUGCGGUGAAUACGUUCCCGGGCCUUGUACACACCGCCCGUCACACCAUGGAAGUUGGCCACGCCCGAAGCCGUUACUCCAACCCUUGUGGAGGAGGACGUCGAAGGUGGGGCUGAUGACUGGGGUGAAGUCGUAACAAGGUAACC
RNAcentral lists this ribosomal RNA (1448 nucleotides) under uncultured marine cyanobacterium. RNAcentral describes it as "bacterial SSU rRNA". It matches the Rfam family "Bacterial small subunit ribosomal RNA". The record is from RNAcentral. Lineage: Bacteria; Bacillati; Cyanobacteriota.